Pseudophryne corroboree (corroboree frog) is the source of this 814-nucleotide long non-coding RNA. RefSeq lists it as uncharacterized. The transcript has 3 exons. The record is from RefSeq and is a predicted model, not a curated record. NCBI's taxonomy places the organism in Eukaryota, Metazoa, Chordata, Amphibia, Anura, Myobatrachidae.
GAUACUACUUAUGGGACAGCUGGAGAGAUUGUUCCAGAAACUGACCCUCACGCUGCUAUAACGGUCAAAUGGCAGAGACCGCACGAGAAGGAGAGCAGGUGCACAAAAGUCAGUUGGUGCCGGUGAUGCAGGAGACUGGAUGCAGCUAGGAACUGCUGAACACAGCCAGCCCCAGGAGCGGUGAGAGGAGACAAGCGACAGCCGCUAGGGAGAACCGGCAGAACUUUACAAGGGGGAGCACGGUGAGACUGUGACGCAGCCCAGAGAAGACGCGGUCGGGAGCCCGGAGUCUGCACGGUACCUGCCAGCUAUCCUUCCAGGCAUCAGGAGGAGAGGAGGAGAUCACACUGAGGUUCCAUUCUCAGCAGUCCGACUGACGGUACAAUGGUGCUACAGGGCACAGCCACGCUCACUGUCCACUCAACCUCUUUCCAGCGCAUCCAGUGGGUGUGAACAACUGCUGAUGUUUCCAGUUUCCAUGCAGGAAGACAGGUAGGAGGAGGUGAGUCCUACAUAGCAGGGUAUGAUGGAGAGGGGUAAGGAAGACAGAGUGCAGUACAGUCAGCUGAAAGGCAAGACAAGAUAGACAGAAGAGGGAAUACAGGUACAAGGACACAUAAAUAGGAGGAGUGCAGGAAGGAACUACAUAUUUAGGAAUAAAUAUGUAGCGUUACAGGAAUAAAGAGGGCAGUAUGGAGGAUAAGCACACAUACAGGGGAUGCAGAUAACCUGGGUCUCUAUGAGGCAGGAUCGUGGCUUUGGGAUGAAAAAGUUAAUAAAAUAAAUAAAUGGGAUAUUGAUAACUUUGAAAGUA